GCCACACUGGGACUGAGACACUGCCCAGACUCCUACGGGAGGCUGCAGUCGAGGAUCAUUUACAAUGGGCGAAAGCCUGAUAAUGCGACGCUGCGUGGAGGAUGACGGCCUUAGGGUUGUAAACUCCUGUCAUUCGGGAAAAAUGGUGAGUAGGCCAAUACCCUAUUCAAUUGAUGGUACCGAAAGAGGAAGCCACGGCUAACUCUGUGCCAGCAGCCGCGGUAAUACAGAGGUGGCGAGCGUUGUUCGGAUUUACUGGGCGUAAAGCGUGCGUAGGUUGUUUCGUAUGUCGGAUGUGAAAGCCCACCGCUCAACGGUGGAACUGCAUCCGAAACUGCGGAGCUUGAGUACAGGAGGGGAGAGCGGAAUUCUUGGUGUAGCGGUGAAAUGCGUUGAUAUCAAGAAGAACACCGGUGGCGAAGGCGGCUCUCUGGAAUGUUACUGACACUGAGGCACGAAAGCUGGGGGAGCAAACAGGAUUAGAUACCCUGGUAGUCCCAGCCGUAAACGGUGUGCACUUGGUGUGGGGGGAAUUGACCCCCUCCGUGCCGGAGCUGACGCGUUAAGUGCACCGCCUGGGGAGUACGGCCGCAAGGCUAAAACUCAAAGAAAUUGACGGGGGCCCGCACAAGCGGAGGAGCAUGUGGCUCAAUUCGAUGCAACGCGAAGAACCUUACCAGGGCUUGACAUGUAACUGCAAAUCCUGCGAAAGCAGGACUCUUUCGAAGGUGUUACACAGGUGCUGCAUGGCUGUCGUCAGUUCGUGCCGUGAGGUGUUGGGUUAAGUCCCGCAACGAACGCAACCCCUGUGUUUAGUUGCCACCGCAGGUGAUGAGCCUGCGAGCACUCUAAACAGACUGCCCGUACAAGCGGGAGGAAGGUGGGGACGACGUCAAGUCAGUAUGGCCCUUACGCCCUGGGCUGCACACGUGCUACGAUGGCAGGUACAAAGGGACGCAAGACCGCGAGGUGGAGCAAAUCCCCAAAACCUGCCCCAGUUCGGAUUGGAGUCUGCAACUCGACUCCAUGAAGUUGGAUUCGCUAGUAACGGCGUAUCAGCUACGACGCCGUGAAUACGUUCCCGGGCCUCGUACACACCGCCCGUCACAUCAUGAAAGUCGUCUGCACCCGAAGUCGUUAUACUAACCCGCAAGGGAUGUUCGCGCCGAAGGUGUGGGUGGUAAUUGGGAUGAAGUCGGAACAAGGUA
RNAcentral lists this ribosomal RNA (1208 nucleotides) under metagenome. RNAcentral's name for it is "bacterial SSU rRNA". It matches the Rfam family "Bacterial small subunit ribosomal RNA", at positions 307 to 1498 of the family's 1533-position model. The record is from RNAcentral.